Molecule: ribosomal RNA, 466 nt
Filed under: uncultured bacterium
Lineage: Bacteria
Description: partial 16S ribosomal RNA
Rfam family: Bacterial small subunit ribosomal RNA
Source: RNAcentral
GACGAACGCUGGCGGCGUGCUUAACACAUGCAAGUCGAACGGUAAGGCUCCAGCUUGCUGGGGUACACGAGUGGCGAACGGGUGAGUAACACGUGGGUGACCUGCCCUGCACUUCGGGAUAAGCCUGGGAAACUGGGUCUAAUACCGGAUAGGACCAUGGUGUGGAUACUGUGGUGGAAAGUUUUUUCGGUGUGGGAUGGGCCCGCGGCCUAUCAGCUUGUUGGUGGGGUAAUGGUCUACCAAGGCGGCGACGGGUAGCCGGCCUGAGAGGGUGGACGGCCACAUUGGGACUGAGACACGGCCCAGACUCCUACGGGAGGCAGCAGUGGGGAAUAUUGCACAAUGGGCGGAAGCCUGAUGCAGCGACGCCGCGUGGGGGAUGACGGCCUUCGGGUUGUAAACUCCUUUCACCAUCGACGAAGGGUUUCUGACGGUAGAUGGAGAAGAAGCACCGGCUAACUACGUG